Molecule: ribosomal RNA, 468 nt
Filed under: uncultured bacterium
Lineage: Bacteria
Description: partial 16S ribosomal RNA
Rfam family: Bacterial small subunit ribosomal RNA
Source: RNAcentral
GACGAACGCUGGCGGCGUGCUUAACACAUGCAAGUCGAACGGAAAGGCCCUGCUUUUGUGGGGUGCCCGAGUGGCGAACGGGUGAGUAACACGUGAGUAACCUGCCCUUGACUUUGGGAUAACUUCAGGAAACUGGGGCUAAUACCGGAUAGGAGCUCCUGCUGCAUGGGGGGGGUUGGAAAUUUUCGGCGGUUGGGGAUGGACUCGCGGCUUAUCAGCUUGUUGGUGGGGUAGUGGCUUACCAAGCCUUCGACGGGUAGCCGGCCUGAGAGGGUGACCGGCGACAUUGGGACUGAGAGACGGACCAGACGGCUACGGGAGGCAGCAGGGGGAAAUAUUGCACAAUGGGCGGAAGCCUGAGGCAGCAACGCCGCGUGCGGGAUGACGGCCUUCGGGGGGUAAACCGCUGUAGCCUGUGACGAAGCGUGAGUGACGGUAAUGGGUAAAGAAGCACCGGCUAACUACGUG